Molecule: long non-coding RNA, 826 nt
Filed under: Manacus vitellinus (golden-collared manakin)
Lineage: Eukaryota; Metazoa; Chordata; Aves; Passeriformes; Pipridae
Description: lncRNA (ENSMVIG00005014068.1)
Source: RNAcentral
GGGGAGGAGCGUGGGGCGGGGCCCGGGGCCGAGUCUGAGGCCGAGUGUCAGUCUGAGGCCAGGGCUGGGGCUCCGAGUUUAAUUUGAGAUUUUGGAAUCAAGAGCCCUGAAUAUCCUUAAUCCCACAGUCUGCACAGCUGAGCUGACGGGACGGGCCUGGCUUUCCCACAGCACGGUUAACACACAAACCUGUACACGGGCAGUGCACUGACGAGCAGUUUGCCCCUCAGUAUGAGCUGCGAACUAACAGCCAGGCUAACGUGAUAAUGCAGGAAACAGCUCUUCAUUCCUGGGAACAGUUUUUUAAAGCCAGAGCAUCUCCCCUGGUUAUGGUAAACCCUAUUAGAAGAUUGAAUUAGUGCAACCUGCUUGUAUUAAACAUGUGAAUGUACUGAAGAAGGGGGAGCUAAUUACAGGAGAACAACCCAAAAUAUCAGUGAAAGGAACAGUUCAAAACCACAAGAAAGAAAUCAGUGUUCGUAACUAGUAUUUUCUCCAAGCAUAAAUAUCAGCAGCUGAACAUGUAAAUUUGUGUUUUGCAAUUGUGAAAUUAUAGUGACAAGCAAAUACAGAAAUUAUUUUCUAAAAUAACUAUGGUAGGUUACUCUGUAAACUUGUCAGCUGAGAACAAUAUAUCCCUUUUUUAAGGGAAAAAGAAGGUUUAUUCUAGUAAUGGUCUUCACCUUAAAGAUAAAUUCACCAUAAUCCUGUAGUCCUGAACAUAAUAUUUCUAUUUAAGAAGAAGUGAUAGAUCUGUUACUAGCUUUGCAGUAGCUGAAUAUUUCAGCAGAUGAGAAGCUUUCAAAGCACAUAUUGAAUUUUAGAG